UUAAAUGGCUGCAGUAAUUUGACUGUACAAAGGUAGCAUAAUCAUUAGUUUUUUAAUUAAAAGCUUGAAUGAAAGGUUGGACGAGGUAAAAUCUGUCUCUUUUAAAUAAAAUUAGAAUUUAAUUUUUAAGUUAAAAAGCUUAAAUUUUUAUAAAAGACGAGAAGACCCUAUAGAGUUUUAUAAUUUUUUAGAAAUAAUUAAUUUAGUUUUAUUACUUUUAUUUUUAAAAGAUUAUUUUAUUGGGGUAAUAAUAAGAUUAAAAUAAUUCUUUUUUUUUUACCAUUUAUUUAUGAAAUAUAUGAUCCAUUAUUUUUAUGAUUAUAAGAUUAAAUUACCUUAGGGAUAACAGCGUAAUUUUUUUGGAGAGUUCUUAUUUAUAAAAAAGUUUGCGACCUCGAUGUUGGAUUAAAGAUUAAUUUAGGUGUAGAAGUUUAAAUUUUUGGUCUGUUCGACCAUUAAAUCUUUACAUGAUCUGAG
RNAcentral lists this ribosomal RNA (477 nucleotides) under Aphaenops hortensis. Its description in RNAcentral is "partial 16S large subunit ribosomal RNA". The stretch from base 342 to 477 matches the Rfam family "Bacterial large subunit ribosomal RNA", at positions 2473 to 2609 of the family's 2925-position model. Lineage: Eukaryota; Metazoa; Arthropoda; Insecta; Coleoptera; Carabidae. The record is from RNAcentral.